GGGGGGAAUUUUGGACAAUGGGGGCAACCCUGAUCCAGCAAUGCCGCGUGUGUGAAGAAGGCCUUCGGGUUGUAAAGCACUUUUGUUCGGAAAGAAAUCGCCUGGGUUAAUACCCUGGGUGGAUGACGGUACCGGGAGAAUAAGCACCGGCUAACUACGUGCCAGCAGCCGCGGUAAUACGUAGGGUGCAAGCGUUGUCCGGAAUUAUUGGGCGUAAAGAGCUCGUAGGCGGUUUGUCGCGUCUGCUGUGAAAUCCCGAGGCUCAACCUCGGGCUUGCAGUGGGUACGGGCAGACUAGAGUGCGGUAGGGGAGAUUGGAAUUCCUGGUGUAGCGGUGGAAUGCGCAGAUAUCAGGAGGAACACCGAUGGCGAAGGCAGAUCUCUGGGCCGUAACUGACGCUGAGGAGCGAAAGCGUGGGGAGCGAACAGGAUUAGAUACCCUGGUAGUCCACGCCGUAAACGUUGGGCGCUAGAUGUAGGGACCUUUCCACGGUUUCUGUGACGCAGCUAACGCAUUAAGCAAUCCGCCUGGGGAGUACGGUCGCAAGAUUA
RNAcentral lists this ribosomal RNA (552 nucleotides) under uncultured bacterium. RNAcentral's name for it is "bacterial SSU rRNA". It matches the Rfam family "Bacterial small subunit ribosomal RNA", at positions 354 to 896 of the family's 1533-position model. The record is from RNAcentral.